CAUUGCCCGAGGCCGGCAGGGCCGGCCAGCUGCUCCGAGUGCGGAGCCCGCCAAGCCCACGCCCACCCGGAACUCCAGCUGGUCCGCAAGCGCCGCGCGCAGCCCCGGUUCCCGCCAGCGCCUCUCCCUCCACACCUCCCUGCAAGCUGAGGGAGCCGGCUCCGGCCUAGGCCAGCCCAGAAAGGGGCUCCCAUAGUGCAGCGGAGGGCUGAAGGGCUCCUCAAGUGCCACCAAAGUGGGAGCCCAGGCAGAGGAGGCGCCGAGAGCGAGCGAGGGCUGUGAGGACUGCCAGCACGCUGUCACCUUUCAAUAACAACAGCUUUCUAAGCUGCGGAUGAGACAACAUGCAGCACAACUUGUAACAGUUUCACCAGCUGACUAUGGAAAGGGCAGCUAUCCGUUCAUUUCUGUCCAGCACUAAAUUAUUUUGUCUGAUUCCGAAGAGAAAACCAAUGCUUUUAUGUGAUGAUUUCCUGCCCCAGCUGAUUUUCAGAAGUAAUGCCCAUGACAUUGUAAAGUGACAAGAGCUAGUUUCAGAGCAGCAUGAAUAACAGGAUCUCAGUUCCAGCAAAGCAGUUUACCCUCUGAGGCCCUUGCUGUCAGCUAGACGCUCAUACGUCCCGGGCUGGCUGUCGGGCUUGACAGCCUUCUAUUGUUCAUUCUCUACUUGCACCUCAGCAGUUACUAUCCCUGUAAUUAUUUCAUCCUGGAAUUCACAGCCAGAAAGGAGUUUGCCUGCAGACUGCAAGCUUCUUGCAGGCCGAACUUAGACUUCAUUCUUCAUAACCUUGGCACCAAGCACAGUGCACAGUAUGUGGGAAGUCAGCUGCCAUGUUUUGAGCUGCCCUCUGGAAAGACCCUCGUGGUGAGGAACUGGUGGCUCUGGCCAACAUCCAGCGAGGACCUGAGAUCUGCCAGCUGCCACAUGAGUGAGCUGGGAAGUGGAUCUUCUCCUAGCCUUGAGAUAACUGCAAUUCUGGUCAAUUUGAUCAUUGCUCUGCAGGACACCCAGAGGUGUCAGCUGAGUCACAAAUGGAUUUCUGACCCACAGAAACUGAGGCAAGAGACAGCAGUGGAAUCCAGGAGAAGCACUCAAGGGACCUCAGCUAUACUUGUGUUUUAUUUAUUUUUAUUGAAGAAAAGAUCUGAUCCAAAAUGGAAAAGUGAUGAGACUUGUUUUAGGAUAGUUUUUGAGCAUUGAUCUACUCAUACUCUAUCUAAAUGUAUGGACCCCUGCUUUACUGCUGGUUCAUGUCCCCGGAUGUCUGCUUGUGCUGUUUCUUCUGCCUGGCAUGCUCUCCCCUGAGACUCCCACCCUUCCACUUGGACAAUCGAACUCGACAGUUAAAGAACCAACUCAGGUAUUUCUUGAACAAACUCCAGUUGCCAGUAGAACGGGUGAGUCUCCACUCUGUUCUAAUAAUAAUGAUGAUGCAAUGACAAAGUUUAUUAAAUAUUUGUAUAUGCCAAACACUGGUGUAAGUACUUUAUAUUACUUAGCUCAUUUAGGCUUCACAGUAGCCCUAGAGGAGGGCACUAUUAUUAAAAGUGUCAGCGCGUGACAUCGGACUGUCUAUCUAUGACUUAUUUACUAUAUUCCAUCGGACUGUCUAUCUAUGACUUAUUUACUAUAUUCAUACUCAUCAUCAUCUCUCCAAAGCAGGGUGUCUCCAAC
RNAcentral lists this long non-coding RNA (1675 nucleotides) under Homo sapiens (human). RNAcentral's name for it is "HSALNT0225422". The record is from RNAcentral. Lineage: Eukaryota; Metazoa; Chordata; Mammalia; Primates; Hominidae.